RNAcentral lists this ribosomal RNA (564 nucleotides) under uncultured Tomentella. RNAcentral describes it as "eukaryotic LSU rRNA". The stretch from base 176 to 330 matches the Rfam family "5.8S ribosomal RNA". The record is from RNAcentral. Lineage: Eukaryota; Fungi; Basidiomycota; Agaricomycetes; Thelephorales; Thelephoraceae.
CCCCCAAACAGAGGCAUGUGCACGCUCUGUUUACACAUCCACUCACACCUGUGCACCCUCUGUAGUUCUAUGGCCUGGGUGACCCUGUCCCCCUCGCUGUUGUUCUGCAUCUUUACACACAUACACCGUAACUUAGUUUUGUGGAAUGUAUCCUGCACAUUAUGCAAUACAAUACAACUUUCAGCAACGGAUCUCUUGGCUCUCGCAUCGAUGAAGAACGCAGCGAAAUGCGAUAAGUAAUGUGAAUUGCAGAAUUCAGUGAAUCAUCGAAUCUUUGAACGCACCUUGCGCCCUUUGGCUAUUCCGAAGGGCAUGCCUGUUUGAGUAUCAUGAACACCUCAACUCUCAUGGUUGCCAUGAUGAGCUUGGACUCUGGGGGUCUUGCUGGCUCAUGGUCAGCUCCUCUUAAUGAAUCAGCUUUCCAGUGUUUGGUGGCAUCACAGGUGUGAUAACUAUCUACGCUUGUGGUGUCCUCCCAGGUAACCUUCGGGCAUGAGGUCGCUGGAGCUAAUAACGCGCAUCUCUCAUUGUAGAGAUGGCUUUUUAGAUGUUGAUCUCAAUCAG